Long non-coding RNA from Salvelinus sp. IW2-2015, 1409 nucleotides. RefSeq lists it as uncharacterized. The record is from RefSeq and is a predicted model, not a curated record. NCBI's taxonomy places the organism in Eukaryota, Metazoa, Chordata, Actinopteri, Salmoniformes, Salmonidae.
CCCAGACAGAGGGGGACCUUGAGUUACCGCGGACUGCCGAGGCACGGAGCAGUCUGGCUGUAAUGGGGGGCCUGGCCCCGGGCCAACAACCGUCAGAAUUAGCUAAUUGUUAUACAAUAUAGCUAGGUAGCUAGUUAAAGACGGUGGCAGUCUUGUAUKGGGUUCUCUCCCCGCAAGUUUGCAUGCCAUUUUAUACCUACGCGAAURCAACACUGUUGCAGUAAAAUUGGAACUUCAGCAGCGCGAGCUAGCCCAGCCCCCGCUAGCGAACGAGAAUUUGCUAGUGGAACGGGGCUUCAGUCCAGUCCCACACUUGCCCAGCUGCCAAACUAUGCAUGCAGUAGCAAAGCUGAUUUUGCAGAUAAUCAAGGUAUCAGCUUAACCCUCAAACUGAAGUAAACACAGGCUAUGAUGAAUCCUCUGAGAGAAGACUGCAAGUCACUGCCAGUCAGACAAAAGGGGAGCAGCAACGAAACAACUCACCAUUCCUUCCCUUCCUUCCUGGGAGAAACACCACACUCUCACCGUAAAGAACAAAUGGAAAAAUGAAUUAUGUAUAUUUUAGUUUCAUAUUUUUUUUGUAAACAUGUCUAACCUUUUUUUUUUUUUUUUAGUAUGUGGGGGGAUAUAGAUGAGAUCAUKAUGACUCUGAAGUUUCAUACCUUCUCUGUCUUAUCUGUGAUUUAUUAACAUGUUCGAUAUACAGUAGCCUGUAAGGGACUCUAAGCCUUGACGAUAUGUUUGUAUUUCGGGAAGGAGAGGAAAAGACACAAAGAAAUUUAAUAACACCGAUACCUGGCCGAAUUGAGCAGAGUCUCCUACAUCUGAGACCUAGCCUGGUUCCUACAUCUGUUUGUGCUGUCUUCCAUGACAUCGGCAAGAUGGCACAAACAGAUCUGGAACCAGGCUAGCAGAGACCCAACGUCUGCGUUUUCAAACUCUACAGGUGGCCCCUUUUUUGGGCUGAGUACAGUAACUGACAGGCAGCAGCAUGUCAUCCACUCUUCCACAGAACACAGUUCAAACAGCAGCUGGAUCCUCUAUGCAUGUUUUAACACUCAUUCAGUUCUAUCUGCUCUGUUCACCUCACACACUCAUCAGCAUUGAUCUCUGCUUAACACAGUAUGUAGUUAGGCCUAGACUUAUAUCAUUGCCUGUACAAACACACUUAAAAAAAAAAUAAUCUAAUCAAAUGUUUAUUUGUGACAUGCUUCAUGAACUACAGGUGUAGACUAACAGUGAAAUUCUUUACGAGUCUUUUUCGAACAAUUCAGAGUUUAACUCUUGAAGGGGGAGUGGUUCCACCUCGAAGCAUAACCAUUCAAACAUUGGGUUUGGUAUUUAACCUCUAAUAGUCCUAAUCCUUCAGCUCUUUAGGUGAUUCACACCCUUCAGCUCUUUAGGUGAUU